AAUUAAUCAAUAUAAUUGAAUCCAACUAGUUAACCAAAAAAAUAAAAAGACAACAAACGAAACAAACAAGUGAAUAAAAAAACUCAGGUAAAUCGAUAUUUACAAUUCUGUUUCAAGUAUGUCUCAGAUUAUUUAAUCAAACUGUGCACAUCCCAAUAGAAUUCUUAAAGGAAUUGAUGCUAAUAAAGUUGAAAAAUGUCUGCUUAUGAAAGCCAAUACCGAUUUGUCAUACAGAUUUGCUUAUGAAAGCUCCACAAAAAUCAUGAAUAGAGAGAUGAUCAUCAUAUUGGAUUAUAAACUUUGAUGAUUUGUUGGCCAAGUAGAAAACAUUAUCCUUGUUAGGAGUUAAUGAUAGCGACCAAGUUCCUCAUGUUACUGAUAACGGUGCUUGAAGUGUGUGGUUGCAGAAAUUGGAUUGAAAAAACUAGUUUGGAUGCCUCUUAAGAAGACCAAUAAGAAAAACGACAAUGAAUCCUGAAAAUCUGGUAGGUCAAAACUACAUUCAUUCCCUAAUCAUUUGCUUCAACAAAAGAACCACCAAAAUCACAAAGCACAUAAAUUCACAAAUUGUUCAUUACAUUGUAGUGAUUUAUCAAAUGACAUCCCUGUAUGUUUUGUAUAAUAUCAAUAUGCAUGGAUAUAAAAUCUGCCAUCCCAACAUAAAUCCAAUUGAAUUUUUCACAUAAUAAAGCAUAAGUAUUGAUUCUCAAGGCAAAAUAUGAGGUAAUGACAUUAU
This 736-nucleotide unclassified non-coding RNA is filed under the name Hevea brasiliensis (rubber tree). Lineage: Eukaryota; Viridiplantae; Streptophyta; Magnoliopsida; Malpighiales; Euphorbiaceae. The record is from RNAcentral.